UGAGAUCCAAAAUCCAAAAAU
RNAcentral lists this non-coding RNA (21 nucleotides) under Caenorhabditis elegans. The record is from RNAcentral. Lineage: Eukaryota; Metazoa; Nematoda; Chromadorea; Rhabditida; Rhabditidae.